This 253-nucleotide ribosomal RNA is filed under the name uncultured bacterium. Its description in RNAcentral is "partial 16S ribosomal RNA". It matches the Rfam family "Bacterial small subunit ribosomal RNA", at positions 524 to 776 of the family's 1533-position model. The record is from RNAcentral.
UACAGAGGUCUCAAGCGUUGGUCGGAUUCAUUGGGCGUAAAGGGUGCGUAGGUGGCGCCGUAAGUCGGGUGUGAAAUUUCGGAGCUUAACUCCGAAACUGCAUUCGAUACUGCGGUGCUUGAGGACUGGAGAGGAGACUGGAAUUCAUGGUGUAGCAGUGAAAUGCGUAGAGAUCAUGAGGAAGACCAGUGGCGAAGGCGGGUCUCUGGACAGUUCCUGACACUGAGGCACGAAGGCCAGGGGAGCAAACGGG